CAGUAGCCGCGGUAAUACGAAGGUCCCAAGCGUUGUUCGGAAUCACUGGGCGUAAAGGGAGCGUAGGCGGCGUGGUAAGUCAGAUGUGAAAUCCCGGGGCUCAACCCCGGAACUGCAUCCGAUACUGCCAUGCUUGAGGGUUGGAGAGGUGACUGGAAUUCUCGGUGUAGCAGUGAAAUGCGUGGAUAUCGAGAGGAACACUCGUGGCGAAGGCGAGUCACUGGACAACAUCUGGCGCUGAGGCUCGAAGGCUAGGGUAGCGAAAGGGAUUAGAUACCCGCGUAGUCCCUGUCUCUUAUAC
RNAcentral lists this ribosomal RNA (301 nucleotides) under uncultured bacterium. RNAcentral's name for it is "partial 16S ribosomal RNA". It matches the Rfam family "Bacterial small subunit ribosomal RNA", at positions 509 to 807 of the family's 1533-position model. The record is from RNAcentral.